CAGUCGUACCGACGAGAAAUCAACUUAUCGUGUGCGAACUUGUGGGCGUGCGUGAGUUUCGGCCUCGCUGUUUGCAUGUUUGUGCGUUUUGGGUGUACUUUUUCGUAUGGUAGGCCAACGUCAGUUUCGAUUAUCAUAAAAUGACCGGCGGAAUGUAGCUUCGAUUUCGGUUGAAGUGUUAUAGCCUCUGGUAGAUGUGGUGAUUGAGACUGAGGAUUGCAACGAAUACCCUUUGGGCUAUCCGUCUGGCCUCUGAAAGUUGCUCAGGUGCCGAAAGCGUGCUUACGGUCAUCUAAGAUAACGUUCAAUAGGUUAGAACGGGUUAAA
RNAcentral lists this ribosomal RNA (327 nucleotides) under uncultured Glomeromycotina. RNAcentral describes it as "eukaryotic LSU rRNA". The record is from RNAcentral. Lineage: Eukaryota; Fungi; Glomeromycota.